GCAGCGGUAGUUCAGUUGGUUAGAAUACCGGCCUGUCACGCCGGGGGUCGCGGGUUCGAGCCCCGUCCGCUGCGCC
RNAcentral lists this transfer RNA (76 nucleotides) under Acinetobacter baumannii. Its description in RNAcentral is "tRNA-Asp". It matches the Rfam family "tRNA". Rfam says of the family: Transfer RNA (tRNA) molecules are approximately 80 nucleotides in length. Their secondary structure includes four short double-helical elements and three loops (D, anti-codon, and T loops). Lineage: Bacteria; Pseudomonadati; Pseudomonadota; Gammaproteobacteria; Moraxellales; Moraxellaceae. RNAcentral also lists the same sequence under 1 other name. The record is from RNAcentral.